GUGCUUGCUUUGACAGCACAUGUAUUCAAAUGGGAAGCAUAGAGAAGAUUAAAUCGCAAGGCCUCUGCACAAGGAUGACAUGCAAACUUGUGAAACAUCCCAUAUUUCC
This is a small nuclear RNA of Jaculus jaculus (lesser Egyptian jerboa), 109 nucleotides long. The record is from Ensembl. NCBI's taxonomy places the organism in Eukaryota, Metazoa, Chordata, Mammalia, Rodentia, Dipodidae.